AUGGCAAAGUUAAUAAGGGCGCACGGUGGAUGCCUUGGCACUAAGAGCCGAUGAAGGACGUGACUAACGACGAUAUUCUAGGGGGAGCAGUAAGUACGCAUUGAUCCCUAGGUCUCCGAAUGGGGAAACCCAGCUGCUACUAGCAGUUAUUCAUGAGUGAAUACAUAGCUCAUGUAAAGGUAACGCAGAGAACUGAAACAUCUAAGUACCUGCAGGAAGAGAAAGUAAAAACGAUUUCGUAAGUAGCGGCGAGCGAACGCGAAGAAGGGCAAACCAAGAAGCUUGCUUCUUGGGGUUGUAGGACUGCAACGUGGACUUAAGCAUUAUAGUCGAAUAACCUGGGAAGGUUAAUCAAAGAGGGUAAUAAUCCCGUAGACGAAAUAGCGCUUAUACCUAGCAGUAUCCUGAGUAGGGCUGGACACGCGAAAUCCAGUUUGAAUCCGGGAGGACCAUCUCCCAACCCUAAAUACUCCUUAGUGACCGAUAGUGAACCAGUACCGUGAGGGAAAGGUGAAAAGAACCCCGAGAGGGGAGUGAAAUAGCACCUGAAACCGUGUGCCUACAAGAAGUUCGAGCCCGUUAAUGGGUGAGAGCGUGCCUUUUGUAGAAUGAACCGGCGAGUUACGUUAUGAUGCGAGGUUAAGUUGAAGAGACGGAGCCGUAGGGAAACCGAGUCUGAAUAGGGCGACUUAGUAUCAUGAUGUAGACCCGAAACCUAGUGACCUAUCCAUGAGCAGGGUGAAGGUGUGGUAAGACGCACUGGAGGCCCGAACCAGGACACGUUGAAAAGUGUUUGGAUGACUUGUGGAUAGCGGAGAAAUUCCAAACGAACUGGGAGAUAGCUGGUUCUCUCCGAAAUAGCUUUAGGGCUAGCGUCGAAAUGUAAGUGUAUUGGAGGUAGAGCACUGUUUGGGUGAGGGGUCCGUCUAGGAUUACCAAUCUCAGAUAAACUCCGAAUGCUAAUACACAUGUUCGGCAGUCAGACUGCGAGUGCUAAGAUCCGUAGUCGAAAGGGAAACAGCCCAGACCAACAGCUAAGGU
This 1041-nucleotide ribosomal RNA is filed under the name Clostridiaceae bacterium. RNAcentral's name for it is "partial 23S ribosomal RNA". It matches the Rfam family "Bacterial large subunit ribosomal RNA", at positions 1 to 1045 of the family's 2925-position model. The record is from RNAcentral. Lineage: Bacteria; Bacillati; Bacillota; Clostridia; Eubacteriales; Clostridiaceae.